This 497-nucleotide ribosomal RNA is filed under the name uncultured bacterium. Its description in RNAcentral is "partial 16S ribosomal RNA". It matches the Rfam family "Bacterial small subunit ribosomal RNA", at positions 28 to 507 of the family's 1533-position model. The record is from RNAcentral.
GACGAACGCUGGCGGCGUGCCUAAUACAUGCAAGUAGAACGCUGAAGCGAGGAGCUUGCUCUUCUUGGAUGAGUUGCGAACGGGUGAGUAACGCGUAGGUAACCUGCCUUGUAGCGGGGGAUAACUAUUGGAAACGAUAGCUAAUAUCGCAUAAUAAUGGAUGACACAUGUCAUUUAUUUGAAAGGGGCACUUGCUCCACCACAUAAUGGACCUGCGUUGUCUUAGCUAGUAGGUGAGGUAAUGGCCUACCUAGGGGACGAUACAUAGCCGGCCUGAGAGGGGGGUCGGCCACACUGGGACUGAGACACGGCCCAGGCUCCUACGGGAGGCAGCAGUAGGGAAUCUUCGGCAAUGGGGGCAACCCUGACCGGGCAACGCCGCGUGGGGGGAGAAGGUUUUCGGAUCGUAAAGCUCUGUUUUAAGUCAAGAACGGGUGUGAGAGUGGAAAGUUCACACUGUGACGGUAGCUUACCAGAAAGGGACGGCUAACUACGUG